RNAcentral lists this ribosomal RNA (253 nucleotides) under uncultured bacterium. RNAcentral's name for it is "partial 16S ribosomal RNA". It matches the Rfam family "Bacterial small subunit ribosomal RNA", at positions 524 to 776 of the family's 1533-position model. The record is from RNAcentral.
UACGUAGGGCGCAAGCGUUAUCCGGAAUUACUGGGCGUAAAGAGCUCGUAGGUGGUUUGUCGCGUUGUUCGUGAAAACUCACAACUCAAUUGUGGGCGUGCGGGCGAUACGGGCAGACUGGAGUACUGCAGGGGAGACUGGAAUUCCUGGUGUAGCGGUGGAAUGCGCAGAUAUCAGGAGGAACACCGGUGGCGAAGGCGGUUCUCUGGGAAUGUCCUGACGCUGAGGAGCGAAAGUGUGGGGAGCGAACAGG